Molecule: small nuclear RNA, 33 nt
Filed under: Cervus elaphus hippelaphus
Lineage: Eukaryota; Metazoa; Chordata; Mammalia; Artiodactyla; Cervidae
Source: RNAcentral
AUAGCUUCUUGGCCUUUUGGCUAAGAUCAAGUG